Rhincodon typus (whale shark) is the source of this 686-nucleotide long non-coding RNA. RefSeq lists it as uncharacterized. NCBI's taxonomy places the organism in Eukaryota, Metazoa, Chordata, Chondrichthyes, Orectolobiformes, Rhincodontidae. The record is from RefSeq and is a predicted model, not a curated record. The transcript has 3 exons.
GGUGAGCUUCAGGCUGAAACCUCCUCCUCAGAAACUGUUCCCAAUAGCAAUUGAAGGUAGGGGAAUGAGUCCAGUGAGGCAGUAGGCUCUGCAAAGGUUGGUUCACAUUCUCGGUGUUACUUUCCACUAUAUAGAAAUUCAAAGGGAAGGAAUCGCAUCUCGAAACAACGCUAGUGUCAAGAUCUGACAGUCACUCCAUUUAUUGGAGCUGAAUAUCUUUUGCGGCGGUUCUCCUGCUGGAUUCAACUUAACUGUUUCAGGAGGCUUUAAGAAGGCAAAGCACCGAGACACCCCCAAACUAUUUUCACGCAAUUGCGCGCUCCCAGGCUCCUGGAAUGUGAUCGAUAGCAGAAGUCCGACCCUUCGUUGUUCUGUAUGAAGCCACCGGUGUGUGCGGUAGGUUCGGUAACUGGGUGGUUCCCUUCCUGCUCUGAGAGCAGAAACGGAGAUUACCAAGUCAUGGAAGAGAGACUCAGAACUGACGGACUUGAAUUCCCAGGGAUCAUUUAACCGCCUCACGUUCCCCAAAAAGCUGUAAAUCUCCAUCCGGCGCACUCUCCCACCUCUUGUGAUAAAAAUACAUUAUCCCAAUUCUCUCCAAGGUACCAGUUCAGGCUCAUGGCCUCAUGUCAUAGAACCACACAGCACAGAAACAGACCCUUCCGUCCAACCAGUCCAUAUCGAAU